UACGUAGGGUGCGAGCGUUGUCCGGAUUUAUUGGGCGUAAAGAGCUCGUAGGCGGUUUGUCGCGUCGUUCGUGAAAACUCAACGCUUAACGUUGAGCCUGCGGUCGAUACGGGCAGACUGGAGUUCGGCAGGGGAGACUGGAAUUCCUGGUGUAGCGGUGAAAUGCGCAGAUAUCAGGAGGAACACCGGUGGCGAAGGCGGGUCUCUGGGCCGAUACUGACGCUGAGGAGCGAAAGCGUGGGGAGCGAACAGG
RNAcentral lists this ribosomal RNA (253 nucleotides) under uncultured bacterium. RNAcentral's name for it is "partial 16S ribosomal RNA". It matches the Rfam family "Bacterial small subunit ribosomal RNA", at positions 524 to 776 of the family's 1533-position model. The record is from RNAcentral.